GGCCUAACCUCCCACCCGUGAAUAC
RNAcentral lists this ribosomal RNA (25 nucleotides) under Aspergillus calidoustus. RNAcentral's name for it is "partial 18S ribosomal RNA". Lineage: Eukaryota; Fungi; Ascomycota; Eurotiomycetes; Eurotiales; Aspergillaceae. The record is from RNAcentral.